This is a non-coding RNA of Hydra vulgaris (swiftwater hydra), 525 nucleotides long. Lineage: Eukaryota; Metazoa; Cnidaria; Hydrozoa; Anthoathecata; Hydridae. The record is from RefSeq and is a predicted model, not a curated record.
UGUAACUGAGACUUUUUCAAUGGUAUAUAUUGUAACUGAGAUUUUUUCAAUGGCAUAUAUUGUAACUGAGACUUUUCAAUGGCAUAUAUUUUAACUGAGACUUUUUUAAUGGCAUAUAUUGAUUUAAAAUGUUUGAAGUUUACUUUUUGUUACAUUAAAAACAUUUUUAAAUCUUAAGGAACAUUAACAACCAUCUAUCUAAUCCUACUAUCAAAGACUGUUUACCGUUUGACUCCUGUCCCAAUCUAACCUAGUGGGUUCAAAAAGAAAGACCGCGCUAGAAACAUGAUGGGGUUAAAAGGAUCAGCCCUUUUUGAAUUAAUAUUCGAAGUCGUAACCUGUUCGUAUGAAAGGAUUUCUCGACCUGAAAUAGUUAAUUUUAUUCAACAACGCCAAGAAACAGAGCUCGCACAAGAAACAGAGGAGAAAGAGAAAGAUGAAGAAAUAUUCUGUUGAACAAUACUGUUGUUUUUAUUUAUAAAUUAUUCUCCUAUGUUUAAACAUAUAAAAGAUGUAGAAAAUGAU